CCCUUAGAUGUUCUGGGCUGCACGCGCGCUACACUGAUGCGUUCAACGAGUUUAUGACCUUGCCCGAUAGGGUUGGGUAAUCUUUUUAAAUCGCAUCGUGAUGGGGAUAGAUUAUUGCAAUUAUUAAUCUUCAACGAGGAAUGCCUAGUAAGCGCAAGUCAUCAGCUUGCGUUGAUUACGUCCCUGCCCUUUGUACACACCGCCCGUCGCUCCUACCGAUUGAAUGGUCCGGUGAAGCGCUCGGACCGCGGCCUCUUGACGGUUCGCUGUCGAUUGGCUGUGGGAAGUUCGUUAAACCUUAUCAUUUAGAGGAAGGAGAAGUCGUAACA
This 329-nucleotide ribosomal RNA is filed under the name uncultured eukaryote. RNAcentral describes it as "partial 18S ribosomal RNA". It matches the Rfam family "Eukaryotic small subunit ribosomal RNA", at positions 1470 to 1796 of the family's 1831-position model. The record is from RNAcentral.